UACGUAGGGGGCAAGCGUUGUCCGGAAUUAUUGGGCGUAAAGAGCGUGUAGGCGGUCCGGUAAGUCAGCUGUGAAAGUCAAGGGCUCAACCCUUGAAAGCCGGUUGAUACUGUCGGGCUAGAGUCCGGAAGAGGCGAGUGGAAUUCCUGGUGUAGCGGUGGAAUGCGCAGAUAUCAGGAGGAACACCAAUAGCGAAGGCAGCUCGCUGGGACGGUACUGACGCUGAGGCGCGAAAGCGUGGGGAGCGAACAGG
This 253-nucleotide ribosomal RNA is filed under the name uncultured bacterium. RNAcentral describes it as "partial 16S ribosomal RNA". It matches the Rfam family "Bacterial small subunit ribosomal RNA", at positions 524 to 776 of the family's 1533-position model. The record is from RNAcentral.